ACAAUAGUUGAUGUUGAGGAUGUUGCACGAAUAAUGUGUUUAUUUGUUGUGGCAACUUUGUUAUUCCCAACAACCGGUCUAACAGUUGGAUGGGCUUUUGUCGCCCUUGUAGAAGAUUUGGGAAUAAUGAAUUCAUAUGCAUGGUCGACUGCAGUUGCAUCCACAUUGACUACUUCAAUCCAGGCUUCAUUAGGAAGUCUUGAAAAUGUAACUGGAUGUGUACUUGUUUUGGUAAGUAAAUUGAACUACUUGAAAUAUUACGCAAUCUAUCUUUAGAGAAUUACUAAUUUCAGUUUUUUAUUUUACAGUACUGGUUAUGCGAGCACACUACCCUCAUUCAACCUAAAGGCAAAAAUUUGUGUCCAAGGCUCCUUCGAUAGGAAGUAUCAAAGUUGAGGAAAAAGCUGAUAAUGAGGUCAUUGCAAAAACUAAAGCUUGAAGAGGUGAAUCACAAUUAAUUGAACCCCAUUUCCAAAGAAGAAAUGAAUCUCAUUUGUAAUCAUGAGGAAGAAGAUGCAAUGGACAUAGAGGAAAAUUUGGAGACUGAAGAAGAUGAAGAUUAUGUAGCUGAAGCUAUAGGAGAUGAUCAACUUUGUAGGACUUCAUUGAUCUUGGGACAUUAGAACGACUUCAAAAAGAAAACAAGAGGCUGAAAGGUAAGAAUAUGGCAUCGGUUGAAGAACUAAAGAAAAUAAGGCAAACAAUGCAAAAAAUACAGGAGGAUCAAGAGGCGAAAACAAAAGAAAUGAUGGAAAAGAUGAGCAACACAGAGAAAGAAAUGGAGAAACUACGAAAGGAGUUUGAAGUACUCAAAUUUAAAAAUAAAGAGUUUGUUGGACAGAUUGAUAAAAAUGUAGUUCAUGCGGUUACCCAAGCUUUUGCUUCUAAAGAAAUGCCAUAUGCUAAAGGAGUACAACAAGAGCAAAACUUUGGGAUUCAGGCUACAUUGAAAGAAACACCUCUAGUCAUAGAGCCAUUGCAAACAUCUAUGGUUAAGAAAAUCAAAAUGAAGGCAAGGAAGAAAAAAGAGAUGUUUGAUUUUGAAUGUGAGACAAGAGAGGUAGAGAAAAAAAAAGAAAAGAAAAAAGACCACAAAACAAGCAAUUGAAGUUAUAUCAAAAGGAGUGAUUUGUGUUAACAACUUACCUCUAAUCCAACUAAAACUAGUUGAAAGGUUUUGUAUCUGGAUAAGGCUGCAAUAUGCAAAUUGCUUGUUAAGAAUGAUAAGCGUCUACUGAGCAAAAUUUACAAUUUGGAAAUCACAGAGAAAUGGCGUAUAUGUUACAUUACAUGAUGUGGAUGCAAUUGUAAGAGAUGGUGAUACUGCAAAUAAUGUCAUUGACAGUCUUGUAGAAAUUAUUCAGAUUGAGCAACAAGCAAAGAAGCCAGAAAAGAAUAAGCCAUUCUUUUUCUCAAGCCUUUGUUGGUUAGUAGUGAAACGGGGUUAUGGAGAUUUGAGAAAUCAUUUAAUUGAAGAAGUGCUUGAGCAAGAUUUGAGUGGAUAUAGAUUCCUUCACUUUUGCAUGAACUCCAAUGGGAACAAGAAGGAAGAGAAACCCUAUAACUGGACGUUGCUUGUAUUGGACACUGAAUAUGAUGAGUGGGGGCAUUACAAUUCUUUAAGGCCAAUAGACAACAAAGAAGAUCCUUACCUUAAGGAUGCAAAACAGAUUGUAAGUGCUUUGCAUCAUAUUAACAUUAAAUUUUUGUUGUGUUUUAUUCUUGUAUUUAAUCGCGACCAAACAAUUAUGCAAUGAUGUUAGAUAACAUAUGUGGAUAACAAGUUGAGCAACAAAAGAAAGAGAGGUACAAGAAAGUUUGCAAACUUAGUUUCGGUGAAAGAUAGUCUACAACAAUGCCCAACAUCAUAAGUAUUUCACGUUACUACUACAUGCUUGAAUUGGUAGUUUUCAAAUUUGAGUAAA
This is a non-coding RNA of Camellia sinensis, 1925 nucleotides long. NCBI's taxonomy places the organism in Eukaryota, Viridiplantae, Streptophyta, Magnoliopsida, Ericales, Theaceae. The record is from RefSeq and is a predicted model, not a curated record.